RNAcentral lists this ribosomal RNA (390 nucleotides) under uncultured bacterium. RNAcentral describes it as "bacterial SSU rRNA". It matches the Rfam family "Bacterial small subunit ribosomal RNA", at positions 370 to 772 of the family's 1533-position model. The record is from RNAcentral.
AAUGGGCGAAAGCCUGAUCCAGCAACGCCGCGUGAGGGAUGACGGCCUUCGGGUUGUAAACCUCUUUCAGUAGGGACGAAGCGCAAGUGACGGUACCUACAGAAGAAGCACCGGCCAACUACGUGCCAGCAGCCGCGGUAAUACGUAGGGUGCGAGCGUUGUCCGGAAUUAUUGGGCGUAAAGGGCUCGUAGGCGGUUUGUUACGUCGGGAGUGAAAACCCAGGGCUCAACCCUGGGCCUGCUUCUGAUACGGGCAGACUAGAGGUAUGCAGGGGAGAACGGAAUUCCUGGUGUAGCGGUGAAAUGCGCAGAUAUCAGGAGGAACACCGGUGGCGAAGGCGGUUCUCUGGGCAUUACCUGACGCUGAGGAGCGAAAGUGUGGGGAGCGAA